UUCUAUCUACUUACACAUGGAAAGUUGCUUCAUCUGCUCCAUAACAUUGGGGAACACCAGAGACCUUCCAUUAACAGUGCAUCUCAGCUGGACACACUUGCUGUUUUACCUCUACUCAUGUCUAAAUGCUCCAGGUAUAUAUCUGGUUAUUUCCAGUUAUUCCCAGAGCCCUGGCCUUUCUCCUGGGCAGGACAGACUAUUUGGGGCCACCUGCUAAGCUGAGGCUAAAAGUUCUAACCAGGAAUUCAGAUGGUGCAAGCAUCAUGAGUCAAAAAUCAGUCAACAAAAAUCAAUCCCUCCCUCCCUCUUAUAAGCUGGUCACUGGUAGUUAUGGGGGUCCUCAAGAUGGGGCUGGACAAUGCCUUUACUGGGUGGUGGGAUGGCCAGUCCAAAAAAGGAACAGUGGCAGUGCCAUCCACCAAGUGAUGCUAAAAUCAGGUCUCCUCCUCUGGGCAAAGAACACAGCUUAGAGGAACAUCCUGUCUUCAAGACGGGAGGUGUAGUUGUCUGACCAGCUGCAAAGUACUGCCUAUUAAUGUCAAAUGUAGUCUAAUCCUAAUGUCACUCCUGCAUAUUGGAGGGGAAGCAACGCUUACUGAGCAUCCACUCGAUCGUCUCUUCCACCUUGGAAGAUGGGUGCAUCACUUGCCUUUUAUCAAUGAGGAAGCGGCUUCAGAGAGGUGAAACGACCUGCUCCGGGACACAUAGUUCCAAGCAGCAGAGCCGGGACUCAGUCCAGUGGGAUGCUCACCUUACUGCCCCCCACCUCUCCCCAGCCCGUCUGAGGACCAGCAUCUUGAAAAUAUGGGAACGAUAAUCAUCACCUUCACUAACAAACCUCACAUUUGUUGAGCGCUUACCGUAGGUCAGGCAUUUUUCCUAAGUGUUUUCUUGGUAUUAUCUCAUUUAAUGCUUGCAACCACCCCAUGCUACUUCCAUUGUCAUUGUUUUAUGAUGAGACACUUGGGUCACAGAGUGGGUUAAGUAACUUGCCCAGGGUCCCAAGGAUGGUACUUGGGCUUCAUCCCCAGGUGCGGUAGCUCCAGAGACCCUGCUGAAACCAACUGGGACUUCCUAGGGACUUGUAGCCAUAUCUGGUGGCUUCUCAUAGUACACGUACCAUAUUUCCCAAGUUGGUUCCCAGUCCAUGUCAGUGUCCACCCAAUGGCCUGGCUGCCCUUGCCACAUCUUCCUUCCUCCUCCUAAGAUUGACUGUACCCUGGUAAGGCAGCUGGCCCUCUGGCAGGCUGACCUGCUCUUUUCCAGGUUGUGGCAGAGCAGGUGAUCCCAGUUUGCCAUCUGACAUGGGCCUUUGGCACCCAGCUUCUAUGUUCCAGAGACAGUAACCUGCUGUGCCGUGCUCUUCUUGAGCUUUAAUAAGAUCCUUAUGGAAAGGGCCUGACCCAAAAACCAGGAGACCUAGGAGACCCUUUAGCCCAGUCCUCUAACACUUAGAGGCUGGGAGCCUCCAAGAAGCAGAAGGACAGUACAAGGUUACAGGAAUCAGACAGGAGACCACAAGGAGAUGUAAUUAACCGCGUUCAGCCUUUGCUGGGUGGCAGCCGAGAGGAAAAACCGUAACAGGGGUGUAGCUGCCUUACUUUUGGUGAGCCCAAGAGGGAGAAACUGGCAUUAGCUAGUAUUCACCCGGCUUGCUAAGAGGCACUGGAACAUAGAAGAGAUAAACUUUGAUGUGAGUGCAUCAGAGAGACCGAGGAGGAAUUUCAGUAUCAGCCCAAGGUACAGGGUGCUCUCUCGGAGGGCCAAGCUUCUGGCUAGAGUGGGCUUAGGAUAAGCAACAAAAUGAAAGAGAUCUCCCAAACAUUGACCUUGGCACUCAAAAGGAAAAUAAUAAUAAAGACAAGUAUUAAACCAUUUCCAGUGUAUUUUCAUCCGAAACGUGUUGAUAUAAAAUGGCUAAGAAUGCCACAUAAUUUUUAGUUUUUUUUUUUCUCAUAGGAGUUUUAAAUACUUAGAUUCAGAUAGUCAAGUUCACAUAAAUAAAACAUUCUUUAUAAAAAACUGAACAAUACAACCAUCAUUACAUGGGCCUGGCAGAAAGAAAGCUCUAUUCAGUUCUCAGAGUGACCUUAGCCUAGAGCGUCUUGGGCUUAAUUUAGAUUAUUGGUUUGUCCUAGUCUGUCUCCCUCCUUUACCCCCAAGAGCACUCUGGCAUUUCAUGAGCAUGUACCAACUGGACGAUUUCUUUCUUUGUAAGAAAACACCAGAAGAAGUAAUAGGAAUGAACAGAAUGCAAUGUGUUCUCCAGACCAGUGGUUCUCAAACCCGAGCAGGAAAAAGUAUGUGAGAAGUGCAAAGAAUAUAUUUAAGAUGCAAUUCUAAUUCAGAUAGUUACUAAAAUCACAAAUCCUUCCUAGUCCAAAAGAACUCAGGGAUGCUGAUUUUCCUCUUAAGUGGGGAGGGGAGAGGCACAGCCGGCCAUAAGCUGGUCAUAUGGGUGUCUAUCAGGAUAUUCUGGAUGAUAAUUAGAAGAAAGCCCACCACCUGUGGGAAGGAGAGCUGGGUUUCAGGGCUGGAGAGAUAGUGUGGUCCCAAGGCAGGGCCCUGGCACACUCUUUCCCAAUGCCAGGGCACUGGCCCCAUCUUCCGUGUAAUCCAGCAGAUGUUUCUAGAAAUGUCUAGAACCAUGAAAGUGUUCGUGCAGAAGGAGGUGCUUCCUGGACCGUGUUCUGCACAAAGGAAGGCAACCUCUGUGAUCAGGGUAUUCCUGAGCCCCGCAGAGACAGGAGCCGCCUUUCUGAAAACUUUGGCCAGAGAUCCAGGGGUGGGCUCAUUUCCUGUCCUGAGCACAGUGUUAGAAGCCACUCGGACAGAUGCACAGAGAACUGAAACAGGCCAGGGGAGACCAGGGAGUGAGCCUGGAUACUCCCACUCCCUGCUGGGAGACCCGCCGAGCUGUAACUACCUGCCAACCUGCCAUGCCGGGAAAGCCCGGCUCCAGAGUCUCCUAGGGCAGGUCCUCUGGGAGACCGCGCGUGUGUUUGGCACUAACCGGGCACCGGCGGGCAGUGCUGAUGGGCUCGUGGGCUUGACUUUGUUCCGACUUCCAUUUUUGAUUCUGCCAAAUACCUGUGCUGCCCUGAAAGUAGCCACCUUCUCAGGGACCCAGCCUGAGCCAAGCUGAAUGGCCGGAAGGGCCUCAGGGCACUGUCCGCUCCCACAGCUUCUCUCGAAGCAGCCACUGCCCUUUGGGGUUCUCUGUCUCGUGGUAGUCCUCCCCCGGAGACACCAGGGACUCCAGGCCAAAGAGCUCCGCAUCCCAUUCCGUGUCUUCUCCUGAGAAGUUGAGGAGGAUCUGUCUGGGGCUCCCCAGGCUGGAAGGGAGGAAUGAGGCAGAGGGUUUAAGUCUGGCUUGGCCGGCUGCACAGAGAAGGCAUGCUCUGAUCCACUAUUCCAACGGAGACCAUCAGACGCCCCCCAGGGCUGGGCCUUGUGGCGGACAAAGCGGUAUCAUCAUGGGGGCUGGACCCCAGACUGGCCUUGAAGGGGAAGGACGGAUGAUUGGAUGAUGAGCCCUGGUUUCAGUACGUCCGUUACAUAGUCCAUUGUUAUGGGCAGAAAGUGCUAUUUAGAAAAGCUCUGAAUCCAUCAGAGUUGAAUGGCUCUUGUACAAACCCGAACCCAGAUAGACCCCCUUCUGCUGUGAAAGGUGAGGUCCCUGCAGCAUGGGCGGCAGUGGCCAGAGCAAGAGAGCACUGACCGCUCCAAAUGAGUAGGUCACAGGAAUUUGGAGGCUAAACAUGGGAACUCGUCUCGGGAGAGUUGGAUCUGGAGGGAAAGAGGCCGAGAGAUGGUGGCGAAGCAGCCAGGGGGAGCCGGCCUGCAAGAAGUUCUCCAGCUAAGUCAGGUCAAUGCCUUUCCAAGGCAGGGGCGUCCGGUUAGUCUGGUGUUGGUUCCCUCUUGGCGCUUUGCCCUUCUCAACCCCAAACUCCCAUAAAAAAUUCGUAGCACACAGGGUGUCCAUGGCCCUGGGGGGCGACAGUGAAAGAGGGUGGCACAAAGCAUGGGCCAGGUAGGCCAGAGGCAAGGCCGGCAGAUCCAGAGCUGAAGUCACAGGGAGGAGACAGCAGUGAACCAGGCUGGAGUUUACGUAUAGACUAGGGGAAAAUAUCUUUUAAUACUCUUAACGUUUAUUUAUUUUUGAGUGAGAGAGAGCGCACGAGUGGAGAAAGGGUAGAGAGAGAAGGGGACAGAGAACACGAAGCGGGCUCUAUGCUGACAACAUAAUGCGGGGCUCGAACUCACGAACCGUGAGAUCAUGACCCGAGCUGAAGUUGGACGCUCAACCGACUGAGCCACCCAGGCAGCCCUAGCGGGGAAAAAAAAGAUCUUUAGCCAAGAUCUCCUUCCCCCAAAAUCUGUAAGAAUAAUUUUUGGUAUAUAGGACAGGGACUCAAGGCACCUGAAGCACCACCCCAGGAGUCUGGAGGACAUGAAAACGUCUUAGUUAUACCAUUUGGUCCAAGCACUUACUCUUUUUUGCAGGCUUUGGGCUUAAAUUUCAAGGUGUUGAAUGCCCCUUCCACAGCCUUGGGCAAGUAAAUGGGGUGCCUCUCGAGCCUCCUCUGAGUGCCGAAGGUCCUGCGCUCCACGCUCCUUCGAAACUGGCUAUCUGUCACGUGCACGGUGUGCCCAGCAAUGUCCUCAGAGUGCCGGCGUGGCGCCCGCAGGAUCCAGUUGGAAUGCAAGCUGUGCUCCCGGGAGCUGGUGGCCACUGGAAGAGACAAGCAGGGGCCCGGGAAGGAGCAAGAGAGGGUGAACCAGGCUGAGAACCCACAACAAAUGCCUAUAUUACAACAGCAGAUUCUUAGAAAGGCUGGGAAAGGCAAGUGAGAGGGGGAUGAUCUGACCCUGUAAUGAUAGGGUAGGGAUAUGGUGGGAUAUUUAUGUGUCCAUUAAAAAUAAAGACAUACAUCUAUGUUUACUGA
This is a long non-coding RNA of Acinonyx jubatus (cheetah), 4949 nucleotides long. RefSeq lists it as uncharacterized. NCBI's taxonomy places the organism in Eukaryota, Metazoa, Chordata, Mammalia, Carnivora, Felidae. The record is from RefSeq and is a predicted model, not a curated record. The transcript has 5 exons.